GGAUGUCCAAAAGAAGACAUACUGGUCACACUGAAUGACCUGAUUAAAAAUAUUCCAGAUGCCAAAAAGCUUGUUAAGUAUUGGAUAUGUCUUGUACAUAUUGAACCACUCACAAGUCCUAUUGAAAAUAUUAUUGCAAUCUAUGAGAAAGCCAUUCUGGCAGAGGCUCAGCCUAUUGGAGAGAUGCGACACACGAUUGUAGAUAUUCUAACAAUGAAGAGUCAAGAAAAAGCUAAUUUAGAUUUUCAACUACCAUUAAUGUGGUGGGUGCCCUGCCUCAUCCACUGAAAUGUCCUCUUCAGCCUGACUAUAUGGAAGUCCAGUCUGACUUGCACCUGCUCAGUCUUUUGGCUUUGUCUUCUGGAUCCCUGAGAUGUCCCAGCCAGCGGAGAUCAGAACAAACAUUGGAAUGAAGGCCCCAUGGAAGAAUUCUCACAGGGAGGCAGAUGCUGUUGGAAGGAGAGAGCCUGGAAUGUCCGUAGUGGUCAAGAGAAAUGUGUAUGUGGGCGUGUGGGAGGGUAUCAAGGGAAGUGAUCACUGCCAAGCUGAUUUGUUUUUUAACUGCCAAAGCAUUCCCAGGAUAUUCUUCCUGGUUGCUAGGAUUAGAGAGCUGGUAAGUUUCAACAAUGCGUCUAUCUAUUCCAAGUACAAGCAUUUUUUUGGUAAACAGAUUUUUAAUUCUAAAAAGACAAGGUUAAGAUUAAGGAAACUUUGA
RNAcentral lists this long non-coding RNA (715 nucleotides) under Macaca mulatta (Rhesus monkey). Its description in RNAcentral is "lncRNA (ENSMMUG00000053191.1)". The record is from RNAcentral. Lineage: Eukaryota; Metazoa; Chordata; Mammalia; Primates; Cercopithecidae.